GUUGGAAGGUGGUAACUGGAUAAAUAACAGACAAAGCAUUGGUGGUUGGAGAGCGGUGACUCUGGUGGAACUGAGGAACCGGUCGGACACCGGCCAAGCCAACAGAUCUCCCCAAACCACCGUCCUGCCAGCUGUGAGAGUUCCUUCAAACUGUUUGAGAGAUUUCAACCUGUUGGCCUUUGACCCUGAUGGAGACGAGGUUAGAUGCAGAUACGGCAGCAUAGCACUGUCGGAGUGUAGCGAUUGCUCGCAGCCGUCUGUUCUCAGCCUCUCGUCAUCCUGCGCUCUGUCGUUCACCUCCACCAGUAG
Molecule: long non-coding RNA, 309 nt
Organism: Centropristis striata (black sea bass)
Lineage: Eukaryota; Metazoa; Chordata; Actinopteri; Perciformes; Serranidae
Exons: 3
Source: RefSeq, a predicted model, not a curated record